Molecule: ribosomal RNA, 779 nt
Filed under: Arabella semimaculata
Lineage: Eukaryota; Metazoa; Annelida; Polychaeta; Eunicida; Oenonidae
Description: partial 16S ribosomal RNA
Rfam family: Bacterial large subunit ribosomal RNA
Source: RNAcentral
AGUAGGCCCAAAAUUAGCCAACAAAUAACUUUUUACAAAUAAUUCUACCUAAUAUCCAAAUUUAUAUCUCUAAUAUACAUAACUUUAACACAAGGAAUAUUUAUAAUAACCACACAUAUAAACAAAACCUGUCUAGAACUAGUACCAUUAAUCUAACUACACUACUUACAAACACUAAACACUCACGCAACCUAUUUAAUACUACCCAUAUACAUAAAAGGAACUCGGCAAACCACAAGGCUCCGACUGUUUAACAAAACAUUGCCUCAUGAUAUAUAAUAUGAGGUAAAUCCUGCCCAGUGAACUAUACUUAAACGGCCGCGGUAUCCUGACCGUGCAAAGGUAGCAUAAUAACUCGCCUCCUAAUUAGAGGCUAGAAUGAAUGGACAAACGAAAGCCAAGCUGUCUCCUAUGUAUUUAUGUAAACUAACCUUCAGGUGAAAAGGCCUGAAUUAUUCUAAAGGACAAAAAGACCCUGUCGAACUUUACUCAAUUUAAAUAAUUUAUAAUACACUACAAUUACUACAUAACUUAAACGAGUUUAGUUGGGGCGACCAAGGACCACUAUCUAAACGUCCUGCUAAAAAAGACUCAAUGUCAAACAAAUGAUCCAUAAUACCAUGAACAACAAACUAAGCUACCGCAGGGAUAACAGACUAAUCCUCCUAAAGAGCCCAAAUUGCCAGGAGGGAUUGGCACCUCGAUGUUGGCUUAGGAAAUCUAUUGAGCGCAGCAGCCCAAUAAAGAAGGUUUGUUCAACCUAUAAAUUCCUACGUGAU